This 1337-nucleotide long non-coding RNA is filed under the name Salmo salar (Atlantic salmon). Its description in RNAcentral is "lncRNA (ENSSSAG00000088126.1)". Lineage: Eukaryota; Metazoa; Chordata; Actinopteri; Salmoniformes; Salmonidae. The record is from RNAcentral.
CAAAGCAUCUUUCAGGAAAAUAUUUUGUGAAUUUCAAUUGACAAUUUAUAAUACAUUAAUAUUUUAAAUACACAUUGUAAAUAUAACAUACAUAUAAAACAUUGUCCAAUAAAAAAAAUAGAAAAGAAACCCAAAAUAUUUAGAAUUAAUAAUAGAAUUCAACAAACGGAGCAAACAGUCUAAACACAGGGAAUAUUGUUUGAGUUUAAAAGUCAUGACGGGGAUUUGAGGAGGAAUGGACAUCCAAAGUUCAGACAGCCGACGGAAAGACAGCCAUCAUUCAGACAGCCGACAGAAAGACAGCCAUCAUUCAGACAGCCGACAGAAAGACAGCAGUCAUUACGGUUGAAAAAAAAUAACUGGACCUGAGCGUGUCCAAAAUGGCACCCUAUAUAGUCUACCACCUAUAGGCCCAAGUCAAGACAAAAGGAGCUCACUAUAUAGGAAAUAGGGUGCCAUUACAGACAGUCAUGUUCUCAGAGCAUGCCUGCCUAACUGUUGUUGGAAACUACUAGUAAUCUAACAGCUUCAAAUGGCAUCUCAAAUACAAACAGUAAUCAUCUCAAAUACAAACAGUAAUCAUCUCAAAUACAAACAGUAAUCAUCUCAAAUACAAACAGUAAUCAUCUCAAAUACAAACAGUAAUCAUCUCAAAUACAAACAGUAAGAAUCUCAAAUACAAACAGUUGGGGAGAGAAGAGUUACUGUAAUCAUCUCAAAUACAAACAGUUGGUGAGAGAAGAGUUACUGUAAUCAUCUCAAAUACAAACAGUUGGUGAGAGAAGAGUUACUGUAAUCAUCUCAAAUACAAACAGUUGGGGAGAGAAGAGUUACUGUAAUCAUCUCAAAUACAAACAGUUGGGGAGAGAUGACCGUAAUGAUCUCAAAGUGACAAGUAGAGGCUACUAAGAAUGCACAUAGAUUUCAUUUCUCUACAUAAACUGCUUCCAACGUCGUUUUAAAGAAUUUGGGAGUACGUCCAACUGGCCUCACAACCUCAGACCACGUGCAUGGCGUUGUGUGCGUAAGCGGUUUUCUGAUGUCAAUGUUGUGAACAGUGUCCCAUGGUGGCGGUGGGCUUAAACUACAUACAACAUUUUAUAUUAUUGAUGGCAAUUUGAAUGCACAGAAAUACCGUAACGAUAUCCCGAGGCGCAUGAAAUACCGUAACGAUAUCCCGAGGCCCAUGAAAUACCCUAACGAUAUCCCGAGGCCCAUGAAAUACCGUAACGAUAUCCCGAGGCCCAUGAAAUACCCUAACGAUAUCCCGAGGCCCAUGAAAUACCGUAACGAUAUCCCGAGGCCCACGAAAUACCCUAACGAUAUCCCGAGGCCCA